RNAcentral lists this ribosomal RNA (492 nucleotides) under uncultured bacterium. RNAcentral's name for it is "partial 16S ribosomal RNA". It matches the Rfam family "Bacterial small subunit ribosomal RNA", at positions 29 to 507 of the family's 1533-position model. The record is from RNAcentral.
AGUGAACGCUGGCGGUAGGCCUAACACAUGCCAGUCGAACGGCAGCACAGUAAGAGCUUGCUCUUACGGGUGGCGAGUGGCGGACGGGUGAGGAAUACAUCGGAAUCUACUUUUUCGUGGGGGAUAACGUAGGGAAACUUACGCUAAUACCGCAUACGACCUACGGGUGAAAGCAGGGGAUCUUCGGACCUUGCGCGAUUGAAUGAGCCGAUGUCGGAUUAGCUAGUUGGCGGGGUAAAGGCCCACCAAGGCGACGAUCCGUAGCUGGUCUGAGAGCAUGAUCAGCCACACUGGAACUGAGACACGGUCCAGACUCCUACGGGAGGCAGCAGUGGGGAAUAUUGGACAAUGGGCGCAAGCCUGAUCCAGCCAUACCGCGUGGGUGAAGAAGGCCUUCGGGUUGUAAAGCCCUUUUGUUGGGAAAGAAAAGCAGCAGGUUAAUACCCCGCUGUUCUGACGGUACCCAAAGAAUAAGCACCGGCUAACUUCGUG